GUGAAUCAUCGAAUCUUUGAACGCACCUUGCGCCCCUUGGUAUUCCGAGGGGCACACCCGUUUGAGUGUCGUGAAAACCUCAACCUCCUUGGUUUCUUCUGGAGACCAAAGGCAGGCUUGGACUUUGGAGGCCUUUGCUGGAACCUCUCUCUUUUGAAGGCCAGCUCCUCUUAAACGAAUUAGCAGGGUCCUCUUUGCCGAUCCUCGACGUGUGAUAAGAUGUUUCCAUGUCUUGGUUUCUGGCUCUGUCACCUUUGGGACCCGCUUCUAACCGUCUUGACCUUGCGUCGAGACAAUGUUCGAGCAUGUCUCCCUUCUCGGGAAGCUCCCUCGACCCCACGAACCCUUGACCUCAAAUCGGGUGAGACUACCCGCUGAACUUAA
This 384-nucleotide ribosomal RNA is filed under the name Lactarius herrerae. Its description in RNAcentral is "eukaryotic LSU rRNA". The stretch from base 1 to 71 matches the Rfam family "5.8S ribosomal RNA", at positions 84 to 154 of the family's 154-position model. The record is from RNAcentral. Lineage: Eukaryota; Fungi; Basidiomycota; Agaricomycetes; Russulales; Russulaceae.